RNAcentral lists this ribosomal RNA (253 nucleotides) under uncultured bacterium. RNAcentral's name for it is "partial 16S ribosomal RNA". It matches the Rfam family "Bacterial small subunit ribosomal RNA", at positions 524 to 776 of the family's 1533-position model. The record is from RNAcentral.
GACAGAGGGUGCAAACGUUGUUCGGAAUUACUGGGCGUAAAGCGUGUGUAGGCGGCUACGAAAGUCGGAUGUGAAAGCCCCGGGCUCAACCCGGGAAGUGCACUCGAUACUGCGUAGCUUGAGUAUCGGAGAGGUUGGUGGAAUUCUCGGUGUAGAGGUGAAAUUCGUAGAUAUCGAGAGGAACACCUGCGGCGAAGGCGGCCAACUGGACGAAUACUGACGCUGAGACACGAAAGCGUGGGGAGCAAACAGG